CGUUCUAUGGCCGAAUUGGUAAAGGCAUCGCCGAUCACAGGCGAGGUUGUGGGUUCGAGUCCCUCUGGAACUA
Molecule: transfer RNA, 73 nt
Filed under: Operophtera brumata (winter moth)
Lineage: Eukaryota; Metazoa; Arthropoda; Insecta; Lepidoptera; Geometridae
Rfam family: tRNA
About the family: Transfer RNA (tRNA) molecules are approximately 80 nucleotides in length. Their secondary structure includes four short double-helical elements and three loops (D, anti-codon, and T loops).
Source: Rfam by way of RNAcentral